CGGGAAGCGGGGCNCCUUCGGACCUCNGCUAUUGGAUGAGCCUNGUCGGAUUAGCUAGUUGGUGGGGUAAUGGCCUACCAAGGCGNNGAUCCGUAGCUGGUCUGAGAGGAUGAUCAGCNACACUGGGACUGAGACACGGCCCAGACUCCUACGGGAGGCAGCAGUGGGGAAUAUUGCGCAAUGGGGGAAACCCUGACGCAGCCAUGCCGCGUGUGUGAAGAAGGCCUUAGGGUUGUAAAGCACUUUCAAUGGGGACAAAACGCCUGUAGUUAAUAGCUGCAGGACUUGAUGUUACCUAUAGAAGAAG
This 307-nucleotide ribosomal RNA is filed under the name uncultured Gammaproteobacteria bacterium. RNAcentral describes it as "partial 16S ribosomal RNA". It matches the Rfam family "Bacterial small subunit ribosomal RNA", at positions 198 to 490 of the family's 1533-position model. Lineage: Bacteria; Pseudomonadati; Pseudomonadota; Gammaproteobacteria. The record is from RNAcentral.